Molecule: long non-coding RNA, 543 nt
Filed under: Mytilus galloprovincialis (Mediterranean mussel)
Lineage: Eukaryota; Metazoa; Mollusca; Bivalvia; Mytilida; Mytilidae
Source: RNAcentral
UUACCCCUUGGAAAGAAAUUCAGAUAAUAAGUUUUGUUUUUGUCUUUUUUAUAGAUCAAAGUCAACCUUAUGUGUUGUCCAAGUGGUAAAUAGAAGUGUUCAACUACCAAGAAAAAAACAAGUGUGUUAGUUGAUAGAAAUAAUUAGUUAAUCUAUUAUUUAGUUUCCAUUUCUUAACUCACUAUCCUCUAAAUUUAGUAUAUGUAGUGUACCUACUGGCUACAAUUUUUAUUAAAAAACAAUGCUGCAAACUUGUCCUUUUCAUGUCAUUUCAUUCAGUUGAUUUGCUUUUGAGUUUCUGUCCCAUUGAUGUAAUAAACCCAUUUCCAACAUUCCUAAAUUUUUACACAUAUAAACCAAUUGAUUUCACUGAUUUGUUUGGGAUGCAAAACCGUGCUAAGAAUCAUAUAUUAGCUAACAAUACUUUAAAUACUACAAUAUUAAUUUGGACCAUCAGGGCAAGUAACUUUUUUUCCGGACAAGUAAAAUUUACAGUUUUACUUGCCCAGGGACAAGUGCUCACAACAAAUAUUUCCACACCCC